GACGAACGCUGGUGGCGUGCCUAAUACAUGCAAGUCGAGCGGACCAAUAGAAGCUUGCUUCUGUUGGUUAGCGGCGGACGGGUGAGUAACACGUGGGCAACCUGCCUGUAAGACUGGGAUAACUUCGGGAAACCGGAGCUAAUACCGGAUAAUUCAUCCCCUCGCAUGAGGGGAUGCUGAAAGUCGGUUUACGCUGACACUUACAGAUGGGCCCGCGGCGCAUUAGCUAGUUGGUGAGGUAAUGGCUCACCAAGGCGACGAUGCGGAGCCGACCUGAGAGGGUGAUCGGCCACACUGGGACUGGGACACGGCCCAGACUCCUACGGGAGGCAGCAGUAGGGAAUCUUCCACAAUGGACGAAAGUCUGAUGGAGCAACGCCGCGUGAGCGAUGAAGGCCUUCGGGUCGUAAAGCUCUGUUGUUAGGGAAGAACAAGUAUCGGAGUAACUGCCGGUACCUUGACGGUACCUAACCAGAAAGCCACGGCUAACUACGUGCCAGCAGCCGCCGUAA
RNAcentral lists this ribosomal RNA (512 nucleotides) under uncultured bacterium. Its description in RNAcentral is "partial 16S ribosomal RNA". It matches the Rfam family "Bacterial small subunit ribosomal RNA", at positions 28 to 523 of the family's 1533-position model. The record is from RNAcentral.